GAGGGUGAGAAUCCCGUAUGCGGUUGGCGCCCGCGCCCAUGUAAAGCUCUUUCGACGAGUCGAGUUGUUUGGGAAUGCAGCUCUAAAUGGGUGGUAAAUUUCUUCUAAAGCUAAAUAUUGGCCAGAGACCGAUAGCGCACAAGUAGAGUGAUCGAAAGAUGAAAAGCACUUUGGAAAGAGAGUUAAACAGUACGUGAAAUUGUUGAAAGGGAAGCGCUGGCAACCAGACUUGGGCGCUGUUGAUCCGUCGGGGUUCUCCCUGAGGCACUCUACAGCGCGCAGGCCAGCAUCGGUUUGGGGGGUUGGAGAAAGACUUGUGGAAUGUAGCUGCCUUCGGGCAGUGUUAUAGCCACCGGUGGCAUGCAGCCUCCCCGGACCGAGGUCCGCGCUUCUGCUAGGAUGCUGGCGUAAUGGUUGUCAGCGACCCGUCUUGAAACACGGACCAAGGAGUCUAACAUCUAUGCGAGUGUUUGGGUGUCAAACCCAUACGCGGAAUGAAAGUGAACGCAGGUGAGAACCCGUAAGGGUGCAUCAUCGACCGAUCCUGAUGUCUUCGGAUGGAUUUGAGUAAGAGCAUAGCUGUUGGGACCCGAAAGAUGGUGAACUAUGCCUGAAUAGGGUGAAGCCAGAGGAAACUCUGGUGGAGGCUCGCAGCGGUUCUGACGUGCAAAUCGAUCGUCAAAUUUGGGUAUAGGGGCGAAAGAC
This 705-nucleotide ribosomal RNA is filed under the name Podosphaera leucotricha. RNAcentral's name for it is "partial large subunit ribosomal RNA". It matches the Rfam family "Eukaryotic large subunit ribosomal RNA", at positions 208 to 931 of the family's 3401-position model. The record is from RNAcentral. Lineage: Eukaryota; Fungi; Ascomycota; Leotiomycetes; Helotiales; Erysiphaceae.